This 377-nucleotide ribosomal RNA is filed under the name uncultured bacterium. Its description in RNAcentral is "bacterial SSU rRNA". It matches the Rfam family "Bacterial small subunit ribosomal RNA", at positions 521 to 896 of the family's 1533-position model. The record is from RNAcentral.
UAACACGGGGGGAGCAAGCGUUGUUCGGAAUCACUGGGCGUAAAGGGCGUGUAGGCGGUCAAGUAAGUGGAAUGUGAAAUCCCUCGGCUCACCCGAGGACCUGCAUCCCAAACUGCUUGGCUUGAGUAUGGGAGAGGAUGAGGGAAUUCCUGGUGUAGCGGUGAAAUGCGUAGAUAUCAGGAGGAACACCGGUGGCGAAGGCGCUCAUCUGGCCCAAUACUGACGCUGAGGCGCGAAAGCUAGGGGAGCAAACGGGAUUAGAUACCCCGGUAGUCCUAGCCGUAAACGGUGAUCACUAGGUGUUGGAGGCAUCGACCCCUCCAGUGCCGCAGCUAACGCAUUAAGUGAUCCGCCUGGGGAGUACGGCCGCAAGGUUG